Molecule: long non-coding RNA, 1379 nt
Organism: Lagenorhynchus albirostris (white-beaked dolphin)
Lineage: Eukaryota; Metazoa; Chordata; Mammalia; Artiodactyla; Delphinidae
Exons: 3
Source: RefSeq, a predicted model, not a curated record
GCCGGGCUCCGGGGCCGGAGGCCCGCUGCUCUCGGCUCCCUCGUCGCCGCUCGCUCCAGCCGGCUGCUGCCUCUCCCGCGGCGCCUGAAGCAUCGAGCCGCCGAAGCCCGCAGCCGGCGGUAACCGGAGGAAGGUGGCGCGGUUCAAGGGGCGGCGCGGGAGGGAUUCAGUCUCCCUCGGACCCGGCGGGGGAGCAGGGAAGGGCGCGGCGCAGCCCGGAGUCCCAGGCGUCCGCCGGCGCGUGCGCUGCCCGCCGCGCCCGGGUUCGGAUCUCCGGCGAAAGCGCCUAGCGUCUCCGGUGCCGCGGAGAAGCUCCUCCCGCUCGGCGGCUGGCGCCUGAUGCGUGGUGGCCGCGGCCGCCCCCGAGUUCGCGGAGGAAGGUGCAAUGCGGAGGGAGCUGGUGGGGCUCCCCGUCUCGGCUCCCCGGGCCGGCUAGGUGGGAGCGCGGCCGAGCCCCUACCUUUCCGGCUGGGCGGACACCAGCCGCGCGCCCUCUCCGGGCGUCCCGGACAGGAAAAUCACCGCGAAGGGGGCCGGGGGAAAGCGGCGGGUGGCUUCAGGACAAGGUAGGAGGAUCAAGUUCCACAGCCAAGAAGACACUCCCAUCCCGCCCUGGUUUGUUUGGAAAGCUGCAGGGGCGAAAGUGAGGGGCACCUCGGGUGCUUCCCCCGCCCUCCCCGCCGGGCUGGCAGGCGGCAGAAGUAAACACUUUUUGCUUGGCGCGUGGGGGGACUUCUGUGACACGAGGCGGAGCAGGCGGUUUGGUCGCCAGCAGGAAGGGAGAGGGUGUUCAGAGAGACCAGAAUUCCUGGGCUCGGCCCUUCAAGGACAAAUGUGUUAGUGCUUUUUAUCUUUUGGAGGAAACGUUACUUUAGGGAGAAGAACAAAGCUGCGAGACAUCAAGCCAGCGUCUGGAGAAGGCAGAACAAGAAGACAGAAAGGAUCUGGAUCCUUGAUGAGGUGGACCAGCUGCUAAAUGAUCUGACCCUGGAAUCGUUAUAAACCCCCAAAUCAUCCCGCAUAUACAACUAGCAGUCUAGAACCCUGACAAUCCAGGCUCUCAUCAGAAAAUAACCAUGGGGGCUUCCCUGGUGGCGCAGUGGUUAAGAAUCCGCCUGCCAGUGCAGGGGCCAUGGGUUCGAGCUCUGGUCCGGGAAGAUCCCACAUGCCACGGAGCAACUAAGCCCAUGCACAACUACUGAAGCCCGCACACCUAGGAGCCAUGCUCCAAAACAAAGAGAAGCCACCGCAAUGAGAAGCCCACGCACCGCAACGAAGAGUUGCCCCCGCUCGCCGCAACUAGAGAAAGCCCGCGGGCAGCAACAAAGACCCAACGCAGCCAAAAAAUAAAAUAAAAUAAAUGCAAUAAAGAAAUUUUA